This 467-nucleotide ribosomal RNA is filed under the name uncultured bacterium. RNAcentral describes it as "bacterial SSU rRNA". It matches the Rfam family "Bacterial small subunit ribosomal RNA", at positions 29 to 506 of the family's 1533-position model. The record is from RNAcentral.
ACGAACGCUGGCGGCGUGCUUAACACAUGCAAGUCGAACGGAGCCCAUGCAGCAGCAAUGCUGCGGAAGGUUCAGUGGCGAACGGGUGAGUAACACGUGAGGAACCUAUCCUGGUCUCUGGGAUAACAGCUGGAAACAGCUGCUAAUACCGGAUGCCGUCGGAGCGUCGCAUGGCGCGCUGACGAAAGGGUUACCGGAUCAGGAGGGUCUCGCGGCCUAUCAGCUAGUUGGUGGGGUAACGGCCUACCAAGGCAUCGACGGGUAGCUGGUCUGAGAGGAUGAUCAGCCACACUGGGACUGAGACACGGCCCAGACUCCUACGGGAGGCAGCAGUGGGGAAUCUUGCGCAAUGGGCGAAAGCCUGACGCAGCAACGCCGCGUGCGGGAAGAAGGCCUUCGGGUUGUAAACCGCUUUCAGAAGGAACGAAACUGACGGUACUUUCAGAAGAAGGUGCGGCCAACUACGU